GGGCGGUUAGCUCAGCGGUAGAGCACUGGUCUUACACGCCGGGAGUCACAGGUUCGAAUCCUGUACCGCCCACCA
RNAcentral lists this transfer RNA (75 nucleotides) under Acidobacteria bacterium RBG_16_70_10. RNAcentral describes it as "tRNA-Val". It matches the Rfam family "tRNA". From Rfam's summary of the family: Transfer RNA (tRNA) molecules are approximately 80 nucleotides in length. Their secondary structure includes four short double-helical elements and three loops (D, anti-codon, and T loops). Further hydrogen bonds mediate the characteristic L-shaped molecular structure. tRNAs have two regions of fundamental functional importance: the anti-codon, which is responsible for specific mRNA codon recognition, and the 3' end, to which the tRNAs corresponding amino acid is attached (by aminoacyl-tRNA synthetases). tRNAs cope with the degeneracy of the genetic code in two manners: having more than one tRNA (with a specific anti-codon) for a particular amino acid; and 'wobble' base-pairing, i.e. permitting non-standard base-pairing at the 3rd anti-codon position. RNAcentral also lists the same sequence under 2 other names. The record is from RNAcentral. Lineage: Bacteria; Pseudomonadati; Acidobacteriota.